CCAGGCAGCCACCACGCAAGGACGCAGCAGCAGCAUCGGGCGACGCUUGAUGCUUCCCACACCAAAAACGCAGCGAUUUUCUUUUUAGCCGGAGCUGAAACUCACGGGAUUGCAAUCGAUACACCAGCAGCACUGCCGGGAGACCGUAACCACGGCAACGGACCGAAAAGCAAAGGAUGCUGCGGACCAGCCCCGGCUCCCCCCGGUAGCAGGAGGAGGUCAGAACAGCUCAGUGAGCAGCACGCACUACUGGGAAGGGCUGGGAGCUGCUCUCUGCUCAGAAACAAGAUUUUCUCAUGUUUCACAAAGAAGAAGCUACAGCUCGGCAAACGUUUCAAGUUAACGUUAAGGGUUACAACUGCAAAACGAGUUCUACCUUUACUGCACUAGCAGAAGAGUUUCCAUGGGCAGAGCAUCUGCGUUAUAUUUUUCCUACAGUGCAGAUUCCCUCAUCCCUUAGGAGUCUGUCAUGAAACUGUUCUGCCACACCCCACACAAGAAAGCCAGCCACCAUUUUUCAGAUGGACUGAAGGUUUCCAGCACCACACUGAGGAAAAAGGUGAAUUACACUGGAAACAAACUCCAAAACCUGUAGCUACAGACAGCAGCUAAAUAAAGUGAAAUACAACGC
This is a long non-coding RNA of Calidris pugnax (ruff), 631 nucleotides long. RefSeq lists it as uncharacterized. Lineage: Eukaryota; Metazoa; Chordata; Aves; Charadriiformes; Scolopacidae. The transcript has 2 exons. The record is from RefSeq and is a predicted model, not a curated record.